Molossus molossus (Pallas's mastiff bat) is the source of this 1007-nucleotide long non-coding RNA. RefSeq lists it as uncharacterized. The transcript has 5 exons. Lineage: Eukaryota; Metazoa; Chordata; Mammalia; Chiroptera; Molossidae. The record is from RefSeq and is a predicted model, not a curated record.
GUUGCGGCGCGAUGGGCUGCCGGCGGCGCGCUCCCGGGCGCCGUCUUCAUCCGAGUCCAUCGACGGUCCCAGGCUGAGCUGGACGGACGCUGAGGCCGCUCCGAGCCUGCGCGUGUGUCCGGCCUGCAGUCCGCAGUGCGCGCUGGCCUGUCGAAGAAGGUGGAAGGAAGACCGUUUGUGCAGUGACGCGGCGACACUGAGAACCCCGGGGUCUGACCUUGUCAGCCUGCUCCUCCGACCGCGACUCUGCUCGGGCACAGCUGGCAGAGGCUUCUGCUCCCGCUGUGUGUUCCCUCCGGGCUGGGCUCCCGGGGCAGAAGCUGGACCUGGAUCCUGCUGAGUGCCAGCAGCUGCUCCUGGAGUGUUCCAAGGGUGGUGCAAGUGCAGAGGUUGAGGCUUCCAGUGGACUCAUCUCUUCUGCCCAAGUGCACUGAACACACCAGCCUCUGCAGAGCAGCCAUCGGACGCACGUACUUGUCUGUGGACUAGACGUGCAGAGGUGGGGCCCGCUGUGCCACACGCUCAGGGAGGCUGCUGCAGGGCCCAGCCAGGGCCUUUGCUCUCGUGUCUCUGGUCCGGUCCCAGACCUCCCUGCACCCUUCUGCACGUGGCUGCCUUCUGGCCACCCUGUGUCGCCCUGUGGGGAUUGGAGCCUCUCUGCAGGAGUCGGGAGUUUCUGGUUCUUCGCUAGGUGUCGGUGGCUGAGGGCCUGCUAUCUGACUGACAUUCUCUGACCCCAGGAUUGACCCUCUGUCUUCCAUCUGCUUCCAGAACAAGGACCCCAGCCCCUCUAACAUUUCCUGAAUGAGAACAAGGGACAUUUAAUAAACAGAUUUUCAAUGUGUGGUUUGGUCCAGCCUGUUUCUCUCCUACGUAUGCCCGGCACCAAGCAGAGAAAGACCCUGCCCUUCUUGAAGGGGUUUGAGCCAGUUGAAGUGCUGCCCAUCCCCUCAGGCCUUUGUAAACUAUGGGUGUGUUCGGGGAGACCUGAUCUGGGGGGGUUGCCU